RNAcentral lists this ribosomal RNA (860 nucleotides) under uncultured bacterium. Its description in RNAcentral is "bacterial SSU rRNA". It matches the Rfam family "Bacterial small subunit ribosomal RNA", at positions 9 to 873 of the family's 1533-position model. The record is from RNAcentral.
AGAGUUUGAUCAUGGCUCAGGAUGAACGCUGGCGGUGUGCCUAAUACAUGCAAGUCGUGCGAGUAGUUUACUACUAGCGGCGAACGGGUGAGUAACACGUAUCUAACCUACCCAUCAGUCUGGAAUAACAUCGAGAAAUUGGUGCUAAUACUGGAUAGCUAAUAUUUACUUAUGUUUAUAUUACUAAAGGCGCGUUUGCGUCGCUGAUGAAUGGGGAUGCGCAGCAUUAGAUAGUUGGUAGGGUAAGAGCCUACCAAGUCAACGAUGCUUAGCCGGCCUGAGAGGGUGAUCGGCCACACUGGAACUGAGACACGGUCCAGACUCCUACGGGAGGCAGCAGUAGGGAAUUUUCGACAAUGGGGGAAACCUUGAUCGAGCAACACCGCGUGAGGGAUGAAGGAUUUCGGUCUGUAAACCUCUGUUGUAAGGGAAGAACAAGUGGGAUAGGAAAUGAUUCCACCCUGACGGUACCUUACCAGAAAGCGACGGCUAACUUCGUGCCAGCAGCCGCGGUAAUACGAAGGUCGCAAGCGUUAUCCGGAUUUACUGGGCGUAAAGAGUGCGCAGCUGGUCUAUCAAGUCUGAUGUUAAAGUCUGGAGCUCAACUCCAGUCCGCAUUGGAAACUAGUAGACUCGAGUUAUAGAGAGGUAAGUGGAAUUCCUAGUGUAUCGGUGGAAUGAGUAGAUAUUAGGAGGAACACCAGUGGCGAAGGCGACUUACUGGCUAUAUACUGACAGUCAUGCACGAAAGCGUGGGGAGCAAACAGGAUUAGAUACCCUGNUAGUCCACGCCGUAAACGUUGAGUACUAGGUGUUGGCCAUAAGGGCAGUACCGCAGCUAACGCAUUAAGUACUCCGCC